GACUCUCGGCAACGGAUAUCUCGGCUCACGCAUCGAUGAAGAACGUAGCAAAAUGCGAUACUUGGUGUGAAUUGCAGAAUCCCGUGAACCAUCGAGUUUUUGAACGCAAGUUGCGCCCGAAGCCUUUCGGUCGAGGGCACGUCUGCCUGGGCGUCACAC
This 159-nucleotide ribosomal RNA is filed under the name Sinosenecio jiuhuashanicus. RNAcentral's name for it is "5.8S ribosomal RNA". It matches the Rfam family "5.8S ribosomal RNA". Rfam says of the family: 5.8S ribosomal RNA (5.8S rRNA) is a component of the large subunit of the eukaryotic ribosome. It is transcribed by RNA polymerase I as part of the 45S precursor that also contains 18S and 28S rRNA. Functionally, it is thought that 5.8S rRNA may be involved in ribosome translocation. The record is from RNAcentral. RNAcentral also lists the same sequence under 1 other name. Lineage: Eukaryota; Viridiplantae; Streptophyta; Magnoliopsida; Asterales; Asteraceae.